RNAcentral lists this ribosomal RNA (522 nucleotides) under uncultured Acidobacteriota bacterium. RNAcentral's name for it is "bacterial SSU rRNA". It matches the Rfam family "Bacterial small subunit ribosomal RNA", at positions 8 to 513 of the family's 1533-position model. The record is from RNAcentral. Lineage: Bacteria; Pseudomonadati; Acidobacteriota.
AGAGUUUGAUCGUGGCUCAGAAUCAACGCUGGCGGCGUGCCUAACACAUGCAAGUCGAACGCGGUUAGUAGCAAUACUAACUGAGUGGCGAACGGGUGAGUAACACGUGGGUGACCUACCUUCGAGUGGGGGAUAACGUCCCGAAAGGGGCGCUAAUACCGCAUGACAUCCUGCCUUUGAACAGGUGGAGAUCAAAGCUGGGGAUCGCAAGACCCGGCGCUUGAUGAGGGGCCCGCGUCCGAUUAGCUAGUUGGUGAGGUAAUGGCUCACCAAGGCGACGAUCGGUAUCCGGCCUGAGAGGGCGGACGGACACACUGGGACUGAGACACGGCCCAGACUCCUACGGGAGGCAGCAGUGGGGAAUUGUUCACAAUGGGCGCAAGCCUGAUGACGCAACGCCGCGUGGAGGAUGAAGGUCUUCGGAUUGUAAACUCCUGUUGCCAGGGGACGAACGGCUCCGACCUAAUACGUCGGAGAAUGACGGUACCUGGUGAGGAAGCCCCGGCUAACUCUGUGCCAGCA